CGUAGGGUGCGAGCGUUGUCCGGAUUUAUUGGGCGUAAAGAGCUCGUAGGCGGCUCGUCGCGUCGACCGUGAAAACCCGCGGCUUAACUGCGGGCUUGCGGUUGAUACGGGCGGGCUAGAGUUCGGUAGGGGAGACUGGAAUUCCUGGUGUAGCGGUGAAAUGCGCAGAUAUCAGGAGGAACACCGGUGGCGAAGGCGGGUCUCUGGGCCGAUACUGACGCUGAGGAGCGAAAGCGUGGGGAGCGAACAGGAUUAGAUGCCCUGGUAGUCCACGCUGUAAACGUUGGGCGCUAGGUGUGGGGGGCCUCUCCGGUUCUCUGUGCCGCAGCUAACGCAUUAAGCGCCCCGCCUGGGGAGUACGGCCGCAAGGCUA
RNAcentral lists this ribosomal RNA (373 nucleotides) under uncultured organism. RNAcentral describes it as "bacterial SSU rRNA". It matches the Rfam family "Bacterial small subunit ribosomal RNA", at positions 526 to 896 of the family's 1533-position model. The record is from RNAcentral.